The sequence is a ribosomal RNA, 867 nucleotides long. It matches the Rfam family "Bacterial large subunit ribosomal RNA", at positions 593 to 1378 of the family's 2925-position model.
GUGACUGCGUACCUUUUGUAUAAUGGGUCAGCGACUUAUAUUCUGUAGCAAGGUUAACCGAAUAGGGGAGCCGGAGGGAAACCGAGUCUUAAUUGGGCGUUAAGUUGCAGGGUAUAGACCCGAAACCCGGUGAUCUAGCCAUGGGCAGGUUGAAGGUUGGGUAACACUAACUGGAGGACCGAACCGACUAAUGUUGAAAAAUUAGCGGAUGACCUGUGGCUGGGGGUGAAAGGCCAAUCAAACCGGGAGAUAGCUGGUUCUCCCCGAAAGCUAUUUAGGUAGCGCCUCGUGAACUCAUCUCCGGGGGUAGAGCACUGUUUCGGCUAGGGGGCCAUCCCGGCUUACCAACCCGAUGCAAACUGCGAAUACCGGAGAAUGUUAUCACGGGAGACACACGGCGGGUGCUAACGUCCGUCGUGAAGAGGGAAACAACCCAGACCGCCAGCUAAGGUCCCAAAGUCAUGGUUAAGUGGGAAACGAUGUGGGAAGGCCCAGACAGCCAGGAUGUUGGCUUAGAAGCAGCCAUCAUUUAAAGAAAGCGUAAUAGCUCACUGGUCGAGUCGGCCUGCGCGGAAGAUGUAACGGGGCUAAACCAUGCACCGAAGCUGCGGCAGCGAACGUAUCACUUAAAGCGAUUCAGCGGGUUACGAUUGACGGAGCGAAGCGACGUCAAAGCGUAUACAAAGUCGAGUCGGUUUAAGGAUACGUUCGUUGGGUAGGGGAGCGUUCUGUAAGCCUGCGAAGGUGGCCUGUGAGGGUUGCUGGAGGUAUCAGAAGUGCGAAUGCUGACAUAAGUAACGAUAAAGCGGGUGAAAAGCCCGCUCGCCGGAAGACCAAGGGUUCCUGUCCAACGUUAAUCGGGGCAGG